RNAcentral lists this ribosomal RNA (446 nucleotides) under uncultured bacterium. RNAcentral's name for it is "partial 16S ribosomal RNA". It matches the Rfam family "Bacterial small subunit ribosomal RNA", at positions 338 to 795 of the family's 1533-position model. The record is from RNAcentral.
CCUACGGGAGGCAGCAGUCGAGAAUCAUUCACAAUGGGGGAAACCCUGAUGGUGCGACGCCGCGUGGGGGAAUGAAGGUCUUCGGAUUGUAAACCCCUGUCAUGUGGGAGCAAAUUAAAAAGAUAGUACCACAAGAGGAAGAGACGGCUAACUCUGUGCCAGCAGCCGCGGUAAUACAGAGGUCUCAAGCGUUGUUCGGAAUCACUGGGCGUAAAGCGUGCGUAGGCUGUUUCGUAAGUCGUGUGUGAAAGGCGCGGGCUCAACCCGCGGACGGCACAUGAUAAUGCGAGACUAGAGUGAUGGAGGGGGAACCGGAAUUCUCGGUGUAGCAGUGAAAUGCGUAGAUAUCGAGAGGAACACUCGUGGCGAAGGCGGGUUCCUGGACAUUAACUGACGCUGAGGCACGAAGGCCAGGGGAGCGAAAGGGAUUAGAUACCCGAGUAGUC